This 1462-nucleotide ribosomal RNA is filed under the name Companilactobacillus paralimentarius. RNAcentral describes it as "Lactobacillus paralimentarius 16S ribosomal RNA". It matches the Rfam family "Bacterial small subunit ribosomal RNA". Lineage: Bacteria; Bacillati; Bacillota; Bacilli; Lactobacillales; Lactobacillaceae. The record is from RNAcentral.
GGCAUGCCUAAUACAUGCAAGUCGAACGAACCAUCCUGAUGAUUGAAGCUUGCUUCAUGAUUCAGAUCUUGGUGAGUGGCGGACGGGUGAGUAACACGUGGGUAACCUGCCCAGAAGUGGGGGAUAACAUUUGGAAACAAGUGCUAAUACCGCAUAACAACUUAGAUCACAUGAUCUUUGUUUAAAAGAUGGUUUUGCUAUCUCUUCUGGAUGGACCCGCGGCGUAUUAGCUAGUUGGUGAGGUAAUAGCUCACCAAGGCGAUGAUACGUAGCCGACCUGAGAGGGUAAUCGGCCACAUUGGGACUGAGACACGGCCCAAACUCCUACGGGAGGCAGCAGUAGGGAAUCUUCCACAAUGGACGAAAGUCUGAUGGAGCAAUGCCGCGUGAGUGAAGAAGGUUUUCGGAUCGUAAAACUCUGUUGUUGAAGAAGAAUAUAUGUGAGAGUAACUGUUCACGUACUGACGGUAUUCAACCAGAAAGCCACGGCUAACUACGUGCCAGCAGCCGCGGUAAUACGUAGGUGGCAAGCGUUGUCCGGAUUUAUUGGGCGUAAAGAGAAUGUAGGCGGUUUAUUAAGUUUGAAGUGAAAGCCCUCGGCUCAACCGAGGAAGUGCUUCGAAAACUGGUAAACUUGAGUGCAGAAGAGGAAAGUGGAACUCCAUGUGUAGCGGUGGAAUGCGUAGAUAUAUGGAAGAACACCAGUGGCGAAGGCGGCUUUCUGGUCUGUAACUGACGCUGAGAUUCGAAAGCAUGGGUAGCAAACAGGAUUAGAUACCCUGGUAGUCCAUGCCGUAAACGAUGAGUGCUAAGUGUUGGAGGGUUUCCGCCCUUCAGUGCUGCAGCUAACGCAUUAAGCACUCCGCCUGGGGAGUACGAUCGCAAGAUUGAAACUCAAAGGAAUUGACGGGGGCCCGCACAAGCGGUGGAGCAUGUGGUUUAAUUCGAAGCAACGCGAAGAACCUUACCAGGUCUUGACAUACCAUGAAAAGCUUAGAGAUAAGUCUUUCCCUUCGGGGACAUGGAUACAGGUGGUGCAUGGUUGUCGUCAGCUCGUGUCGUGAGAUGUUGGGUUAAGUCCCGCAACGAGCGCAACCCUUAUUAUCAGUUGCCAGCAUUCAGUUGGGCACUCUGGUGAGACUGCCGGUGAUAAACCGGAGGAAGGUGGGGACGACGUCAAAUCAUCAUGCCCCUUAUGACCUGGGCUACACACGUGCUACAAUGGUCGGUACAACGUGCUGCGAACUCGCGAGGGCAAGCAAAUCACUUAAAACCGAUCUCAGUUCGGAUUGUAGGCUGCAACUCGCCUACAUGAAGCUGGAAUCGCUAGUAAUCGCGGAUCAGCAUGCCGCGGUGAAUACGUUCCCGGGCCUUGUACACACCGCCCGUCACACCAUGAGAGUUUGUAACACCCAAAGUCGGUGGGGUAACCCUUCGGGGAACUAGCCGCCUAAGGUGGGAC